CCCCAUCCAGGUGUUCACCUGCCCCAUCCAGGUGUUCACUGCUCCAUCCAGGUGUUCACCUGCCCCAUCCAGGUGUGCCCUGCCCCAUCCAGGUGUGCCCCGCCCCAUCCAGGUGUACCUGGAGCUCCCCAAAGCCACACCUGUCCCUGCUGGGCCCAGGUGAGUGCCCAGGUGAGGCCUCGCAGCGCCGGGGUCACACCUGCCCACAGGUGAACGCUGGCGGUUCCUCCUCCGCUCUCGGUGACGUCACAGCUCAGGUGUCACCCCUCACCUGUGCCCCAGGUGUGGCAGAGUUUGGGGUCCGCACCUGCCCGGGGGUCCCUCACCUGGGGCUCAGGUGUCACUGUCCAGGUGUUGCUGCUGCAGUUUUGGGCUCCGAACUCCAUUUUUGGGGCCCACACCUGUCUGGGCUCGCAGGUACCGAGACCUUCCACCUGGGGCUCAGGUGUCUCAGUCCAGGUGUUGCUGCUGCAGUUUCGGGUUCCACACCUGUCCAGGUGUGCAGUUCUGGAGUCCCCUCACCUGGGGCUCAGGUGUCACUGUCCAGGUGUUGCUGCUGCAGUUUUGGGGUCCAAACUCCAUUUUUGGGGUCCACACCUGUCUGGGCUCGCAGGUACCGAGUCCUUCCACCUGGGGCUCAGGUGUCACUGUCCAGGUGUUGCUGCUGCAGUUUUGGGUUCCACAGGAGAUUUUUGGGGUCCACACCUGUCUGGGCUCGCAGGUACCAACUCCUUUCAGCUGGGGCUCAGGUGAUGCAGAGUUUUGGAGCCCACACCUGUCCAGGUGUGCAGUUUUGGAGUCCCCUCACCUGUGGCUCAGGUGUCGCUGUCCAGGUGUUGAUGCUGCACCUUUAUGGGGUCCAAUCUCCACUUUUGGGGCCCACACCUGUCUGGGCUCGCAGGUACCGAGUCCUUCCACCUGGGGCUCAGGUGAUGCAGAGUUUGGAGUCCACACCUGGCUGGGAUAUCCUCACCUGGAGCUCAGGUGUUGCAGUCCAGGUGUUGCUGCUGCAGUUUCGGGUUCCACACCUGUCCAGGUGUGCAGUUCUGGGGUUCCUUCACCUGGGGCUCAGGUGUCUCAGUCCAGGUGUUGCUGCUGCAGUUUUGGGCUCCGAACUCCAUUUUUGGGGUCCACACCUGUCCAGGUGUGUGGUUUUGGAGUCCCCUCAACUGGGGCUCAGGUGUCGCUGUCCAGGUGUUGCUGCUGCAGUUUUGGGCUCUGAAUUUCAUUUUUGGGGUCCACACCUGUCCAGGCGUGCAGUUCUGGAGUCCCCUCACCUGUGGCUCAGGUGUCGCUGUCCAGGUGUUGCUGAUGCACCUUUAUGGGGUCCAGUCUCCACUUUUGGGGCCCACACCUGUCUGGGCUCGCAGGUACCGAGUCCUUCCACCUGGGGCUCAGGUGAUGCAGAGUUUGGGGCCCACACCUGUCCAGCUGUGCAGUUCUGGGGUUCGUUCACCUGGGGCUCAGGUGUCACUGUC
This 1478-nucleotide long non-coding RNA is filed under the name Chloebia gouldiae (Gouldian finch). Its description in RNAcentral is "Erythrura gouldiae (Gouldian finch) lncRNA (ENSEGOG00005011409.1)". Lineage: Eukaryota; Metazoa; Chordata; Aves; Passeriformes; Passeridae. The record is from RNAcentral.